UCUGUUUUACAGUUCAACUUUUGACCUUGGGGGAUGAAUGGGUGGAGGCUAAGAGGAAAAGUCCACUGUGUUUUUUCUGAACUUUUUACCCUUAAAAAAAAUGAGCAAGUUUAAAGUUCACACAGUGCACAAGAGGUCUCCACUGGGGAUUUCUGGUAUUAUUAACUUCCUGACCUCAGAUAAUUAAAAAGAAAGAGCAGAGCCACCUCAGACUAUGACUCAACUUUGAACUUUUAACCUUCCAAGUAAAGGAUUUAAAUUGUAAAUGGUAGACCUUGGAAGCUUUCUUAUUGCUAUUAACUUCUUUCAUCCCUUGUCAUGAAGUUAUAAUUUAGGCCAAAAGCAGAGCCCAAUCUUUCCUUUUUAUUUACUUAACCUCCUUUAGCAGAAAAGACUGAGAACACCACUUACCUAGAAAUGACAGGUAUUCUGAUGAAAGAAGUUAGACUCAAAGGGUCAUUGAAUUUUGGAACUAGAAGCCACCCUAGAUGGUCUAUCCGGGCUCCUCAGCUGUGAAGAGAAUAGAGAACCAGGGAGGCCCAAGAAUUCCUUACCCUCAGGCACGUCACGGGAGAACAGAAGAGCUUCCCUGAUUCAGUAGCUGUGUUUGCUUCUGUUGUAGAGGGAUUCAAGCAUGAUUGGGGAAGAGAUCCUCCCGGUGUGAUUGCAAACCUCAGAGCUGAUACAGAGCUUCGAGAUGAGUAUCUGUACCUUAAGGCAACAGAAGAAGAACAGAGAGUCAAGCACAACCCAGAGUUCCAGUGCCAAAUGAGUCAGUAUGUGAAUUAUCUGCAGUGAAGACUCACCUCAAGACAAGCCCAAAGACCCCCCUGCAGGAAAGUAAACAGGAACCAUUAAAGACGAACCUAGUGCUUCUCAGGGUUACUUCACUGACUCAAUCCAACUCUCAAGUGUGCUGGCCUUUUUCCUUUUAAGGACAGAGAAGUCCUGUCUGUGAAGACCAUGGUGUCAUGCACAGGGAAGCCGCAGCCAGGAAGAGGAAAAUCAUCGCCUGACCAGGUGCAAUAUUGCCCCCAUCAGGAGCAUCUCUGUAAUGGAAAGUUGCAAUGACUUGUCCAGCUGUUAAAAAAGCAGGAGUUAUCUGUUUUGUAUAUAAAAAAAGGACUUACUGUGUAUAGCACAGGAACUCUGUUCCAUACUCUGGAAUGACCUAAUGGGAAAAGAAUCUAAAAAAGAAUGGAUAUACGUAUAACUAAUUCCCUUUGCUGUACAGCAGAUGCUGACGCAACAGUGUAAAUCAAUUCUACUCCCAUAAAAAAUUUUUCAUAGGUUAUAUUAGCUAAUAGUAUAAUCUCUAAAUAAGGAAAUGGCUGCUAUAAACUAAGAAUAAAUGAGCUUUAUUUUCAGGACA
This 1372-nucleotide long non-coding RNA is filed under the name Bos indicus x Bos taurus (hybrid cattle). Its description in RNAcentral is "lncRNA (ENSBIXG00005003999.1)". The record is from RNAcentral. Lineage: Eukaryota; Metazoa; Chordata; Mammalia; Artiodactyla; Bovidae.